UAGCAGUUAACUGGCCGAUAUUUGGAACAUUGAUUAUGUUUACUCUUUGAGAGCCCAAGUCAUAUUAAUUUACCCUAUAUCAAUGCUGAGCAUAGAACUUCAACUUUCCCUUAUGCUGCUUGAUGUUUGCUAAUGGGUCGCAGCAUGCAUAUUUUCAUCGUUGGUUGCUUCACUUCUGUAAUUGUUGAUGAAUUUGUGCAUGACUCUACCCCUACAUAACUAAUUCACACAUGUACAAAGCCUGGCAAUGAACUAUCCAGCAGAGAUCCAAGUGGUCACAUUCAAUAGCACUUUUGGAGUUUUGGUCUUGCCAAUAAAGAAUUUCUUUGGUUUCUUUUCUUUUGAAAUUGAACAAUACACAGCUGCGUUGCAUGCAGCAUGCUUGCUGAAAAUAUAUUCGUAUAACAGUUAAACCUCCUGCUCUUAAAGUUGUUUGCAUAGUUGAUAUACUGAAAAUUUUCUAAAUGGAAAAUGGUCACUUGAUCAUGGUUUUCAUUUUAAGUUUAUCUUGGCAAUAUUAUUUGAAUGUAGUUCAAAAACUUAAAUAGCCCAAUGGUUUGGCCUACUGCAAAUUGGCAGCUUUUUCCUGGUACGGGGUCAAAGGUGGAACCUUUCUAUUCAAGCACUGAGGUGGAAAGGAUUCAUGAACCAUGAUGCCAGAAUUAUCUUACGGCUGAUUCUUAACCUUUCUUUUCCUGUUACUGUAUGUUACAGAUGUUUUAAAUCCUUGCUUUUGAAGUAGAUGCAGCACGUAAGAAAGGUGAAGGCGUGAUGACCUUGGACCCCACUCAAAUAGGGACCAUCCAUAGCCUACAUGUAAUAGCAUGUUUGGGCUGCCCUGCAAUGUCUGAAUGCUUCUGGUACGUUUGGUAUUCAACCAAGAAGACUGUGUCAUCACUGUUUAAGCCAUCUUUGUUUUCAGGACAUCCUAUACCGUUAUUCUUCCAUUCUGAGUCGCUAAUCCGUAGGGGUAAGUACAUUGUUGCAUGCUUGAUUAAAAGAUAUUUUUUUCACCUUUGCGACGAUUGCAUGAUUGUGAUCCCUUCAUUUGCUGUACAUGAUUGCACUUUAGCUUUUCCCCUAUCACACUCGGUCAAUUGUUGUUUAGGAGUCUAAAUCAAUAUAGAAAUUCAUGUCCACACACUAUGCCACAUGCUGAAACAGUAAAGGAAAUCUAUUGCGCAGGGAUGGGGUAGAGCAACAGGUGCCUGGUGGCCAGAGAAUGAGCAAAUGAAACCAACACCCUGCCUUCUUAGAUAUCUAGGCUGGCAUGCAAAUGCUGAUGAUAUCCUUUCGACCGAAGGGGCCUACUCCUUUGGGAUCCUUAAGAUUCAAGUAUCCUUAACUGGUCACCCCAAUUAUAUGAAACGAAGAAAAGGAGAGGGAAAGAACACACAACACACACCCGGAGAACGAGGUAGGGCAGAAUGGUAGGACUCUCAUCUAAGGUUUGCCUUAAUGGCCCAAGAAUUGCCCACCACUGCUAAUGUGAGGUGGAGUUUGCUGGACCAUCAAUUGAGCCAGCCCAAUUAGGUCUCCACAUGCAUGAGUGGGUGAUCAUGUGUCAAGUUUAUGCAGGUUAGCAUGCACUUUGUCCGUCGGAAACGAUGUAUCAUUAGGCGAAGGAGGGGAAGGAGGUUGUCUAUAAAUAUGCAGUGCGAUGGAUAGGGGUUGGUUUGUGCUGAAAACAAGCUAGCUGGGAGCAUAGUGGAAGAAGAGAGAGGCCACCUCGUGAUGA
This is a long non-coding RNA of Triticum aestivum (bread wheat), 1738 nucleotides long. RefSeq lists it as uncharacterized. Lineage: Eukaryota; Viridiplantae; Streptophyta; Magnoliopsida; Poales; Poaceae. The record is from RefSeq and is a predicted model, not a curated record. The transcript has 3 exons.